UUCCGGUUGAUCCUGCCGGACCUGACUGCUAUCGGAUUGAUACUAAGCCAUGCGAGUCAUUGUAGCAAUACAAGGCAUACGGCUCAGUAACGCGUAGUCAACCUACCCUAUGGACGGAAAUAACCUCGGGAAACUGAGAAUAAUAUCCGAUAGAACAUUAUGCCUGGAAUGGUUUAUGUUCCAAAUGAUUUAUCGCCGUAGGAUGGGACUGCGGCCUAUCAGUUUGUUGGUGAGGUAAUGGCCCACCAAGACUAUUACAGGUACGGGCUCUGAGAGGAGUAGCCCGGAGAUGGGUACUGAGACACGGACCCAGGCCCUAUGGGGCGCAGCAGGCGAGAAAACUUUGCAAUGUGCGAAAGCACGACAAGGUUAAUCCGAGUGAUUUCUGCUAAAGAAAUCUUUUGUUAGUCCUAGAAACACUAACGAAUAAGGGGUGGGCAAGUUCUGGUGUCAGCCGCCGCGGUAAAACCAGCACCUCAAGUGGUCAGGAUGAUUAUUGGGCCUAAAGCAUCCGUAGCCGGCUCUGUAAGUCAUCGGUUAAAUCUGUACGCUUAACGUACAGGCUGCCGGGAAUACUGCAUAGCUAGGGAGUGGGAGAGGUAGACGGUACUCGGUAGGAAGGGGUAAAAUCCUUUGAUCUAUUGAUGACCACCUGUGGCGAAGGCGGUCUACCAGAACACGUCCGACGGUGAGGGAUGAAAGCUGGGGGAGCAAACCGGAUUAGAUACCCGGGUAGUCCCAGCUGUAAACUAUGCAAACUCAGUGAUGCAUUGGCUUGUGGCCAAUGCAGUGCUGCAGGGAAGCCGUUAAGUUUGCCGCCUGGGAAGUACGUACGCAAGUAUGAAACUUAAAGGAAUUGGCGGGGGAGCACCACAA
RNAcentral lists this ribosomal RNA (876 nucleotides) under uncultured Nitrososphaerota archaeon. Its description in RNAcentral is "bacterial SSU rRNA". It matches the Rfam family "Archaeal small subunit ribosomal RNA", at positions 1 to 884 of the family's 1478-position model. Lineage: Archaea; Thermoproteati; Nitrososphaerota. The record is from RNAcentral.